This 171-nucleotide small nuclear RNA is filed under the name Echinops telfairi (small Madagascar hedgehog). RNAcentral's name for it is "U2 spliceosomal RNA (ENSETEG00000024284.1)". It matches the Rfam family "U2 spliceosomal RNA", at positions 1 to 172 of the family's 192-position model. From Rfam's summary of the family: U2 is a small nuclear RNA (snRNA) component of the spliceosome (involved in pre-mRNA splicing). Complementary binding between U2 snRNA (in an area lying towards the 5' end but 3' to hairpin I) and the branchpoint sequence (BPS) of the intron results the bulging out of an unpaired adenosine, on the BPS, which initiates a nucleophilic attack at the intronic 5' splice site, thus starting the first of two transesterification reactions that mediate splicing. Lineage: Eukaryota; Metazoa; Chordata; Mammalia; Afrosoricida; Tenrecidae. The record is from RNAcentral.
AUCGCGUCGCGACCUUUUGGCUGUGAUCCAGUGUAGAACCUGUUCUGAUCAGUUUAAUAUCUGAGACAUCCUCUAUCCCAAGACAAUAUAUUAAAUGGAUUUCUGGAGCACGAAGAUGGAAUAGGAGCUUGCUCCGUCCACUCCAUGCAUCGACCUGGUAUUGCAGUGUUU